RNAcentral lists this ribosomal RNA (424 nucleotides) under uncultured bacterium. Its description in RNAcentral is "bacterial SSU rRNA". It matches the Rfam family "Bacterial small subunit ribosomal RNA", at positions 608 to 1030 of the family's 1533-position model. The record is from RNAcentral.
CUCAACUAGUGAAGUGCCUUUGAAACUGUUAGGCUUGAGAGCAGAAGAGGAAGAUGGAAUUCCUGGUGUAGUGGUGAAAUACGUAGAUAUCAGGAAGAAUACCAAUGGUGAAGACAGUCUUCUGGUCUGACUCUGACGCUGAGGCACGAAAGCUAGGGUAUCAAACGGGAUUAGAUACCCCGGUAGUCCUAGCUGUAAACGCUGGAUACUAGGUGUUGGGGGUUCAACUCCCUCUGCGCCGCAGUUAACGCUUUAAGUAUCCCGCCUGGGGAAUACGACCGCAAGGUUGAAACUCAAAGGAAUUGACGGGGGCCCGCACAAGCGGCGGAGCAUGUGGUUUAAUUCGAAGCAACGCGAAGAACCUUACCAGAACUUGACAUCCCUGUGACUAUUCCGUAACAGGAAGUCUCUCUUCGGAGACACA